UCCCUGGUGGCUCAGACGGUAAAGAAUCUGCCUGCAAUGCAGGAGACCUAGGUUCGAUCCCUGGGUCGGGAA
Molecule: non-coding RNA, 72 nt
Organism: Bos taurus (domestic cattle)
Lineage: Eukaryota; Metazoa; Chordata; Mammalia; Artiodactyla; Bovidae
Source: Rfam